This 600-nucleotide ribosomal RNA is filed under the name Streptomyces sp. RNAcentral describes it as "bacterial SSU rRNA". It matches the Rfam family "Bacterial small subunit ribosomal RNA", at positions 146 to 760 of the family's 1533-position model. The record is from RNAcentral. Lineage: Bacteria; Bacillati; Actinomycetota; Actinomycetes; Kitasatosporales; Streptomycetaceae.
AGCCCUGGAAACGGGGUCUAAUACCGGAUAUGACUGUCCAUCGCAUGGUGGAUGGUGUAAAGCUCCGGCGGUGCAGGAUGAGCCCGCGGCCUAUCAGCUUGUUGGUGAGGUAGUGGCUCACCAAGGCGACGACGGGUAGCCGGCCUGAGAGGGCGACCGGCCACACUGGGACUGAGACACGGCCCAGACUCCUACGGGAGGCAGCAGUGGGGAAUAUUGCACAAUGGGCGAAAGCCUGAUGCAGCGACGCCGCGUGAGGGAUGACGGCCUUCGGGUUGUAAACCUCUUUCAGCAGGGAAGAAGCGAAAGUGACGGUACCUGCAGAAGAAGCGCCGGCUAACUACGUGCCAGCAGCCGCGGUAAUACGUAGGGCGCAAGCGUUGUCCGGAAUUAUUGGGCGUAAAGAGCUCGUAGGCGGCUUGUCACGUCGGUUGUGAAAGCCCGGGGCUUAACCCCGGGUCUGCAGUCGAUACGGGCAGGCUAGAGUUCGGUAGGGGAGAUCGGAAUUCCUGGUGUAGCGGUGAAAUGCGCAGAUAUCAGGAGGAACACCGGUGGCGAAGGCGGAUCUCUGGGCCGAUACUGACGCUGAGGAGCGAAAGC